AGUGAACGCUGGCGGUAGGCCUAACACAUGCAAGUCGAACGGCAGCACAGUAAGAGCUUGCUCUUACGGGUGGCGAGUGGCGGACGGGUGAGGAAUACAUCGGAAUCUACUUUUUCGUGGGGGAUAACGUAGGGAAACUUACGCUAAUACCGCAUACGACCUACGGGUGAAAGCAGGGGAUCUUCGGACCUUGCGCGAUUGAAUGAGCCGAUGUCGGAUUAGCUAGUUGGCGGGGUAAAGGCCCACCAAGGCGACGAUCCGUAGCUGGUCUGAGAGGAUGAUCAGCCACACUGGAACUGAGACACGGUCCAGACUCCUACGGGAGGCAGCGGUGGGGAAGGGUGGACAAUGUGCGCAAGCCUGAUCCAGCCAUACCGCGUUGGUGAAGAAGGCCUUCGGGUGGUAAAGCCCUUUUGUUGGGAAAGAAAAGCAGCAGGUUAAUACCCCGCUGUUCUGACGGUACCCAAAGAAUAAGCACCGGCUAACUUCGUG
RNAcentral lists this ribosomal RNA (492 nucleotides) under uncultured bacterium. RNAcentral describes it as "partial 16S ribosomal RNA". It matches the Rfam family "Bacterial small subunit ribosomal RNA", at positions 29 to 507 of the family's 1533-position model. The record is from RNAcentral.